RNAcentral lists this long non-coding RNA (210 nucleotides) under Lathyrus oleraceus (garden pea). RNAcentral describes it as "Pisum sativum (pea) long non-coding RNA (PSAT_LNC024273)". Lineage: Eukaryota; Viridiplantae; Streptophyta; Magnoliopsida; Fabales; Fabaceae. The record is from RNAcentral.
UUUUAUUUUUAUAUUUAAAUAUGUUUAUUUGACCUAAUUUUACAUGUUAAGGUUCAAUUCUUGAUCUUCCCAUUUGAAUUUUGAUCCAAUUUUUGAUACACAUAUAGACACAUGUAUAUAGGUCAUUUGAAUUUUCAUUUUGUGUUUUUAUUAUCAACUUUGGAUCAUUUUUAAACUUAUUUUUGAAGAUUACUUGGUAUAAUUAAUUAG